UACAGAGGUGGCAAGCGGUGUUCGGAUUUACUGGGCGUAAAGGGUGCGUAGGCGGUCCCGCAUGUCGGAUGUGAAAUCCCACGGAUCAUCCGUGGAACGGCAUUCGAAACUGCGGGGCUAGAGUGCAGGAGAGGAGGGCAGAAUUCUCGGUGUAGCGGUGAAAUGCGUUGAUAUCGAGGGGAAUGCCGGUGGCGAAGGCGGCCCUCUGGACUGCAACUGACGCUGAGGCACGAAAGACGGGGGAGCAAACAGG
Molecule: ribosomal RNA, 253 nt
Filed under: uncultured bacterium
Lineage: Bacteria
Description: partial 16S ribosomal RNA
Rfam family: Bacterial small subunit ribosomal RNA
Source: RNAcentral